RNAcentral lists this ribosomal RNA (404 nucleotides) under uncultured Kocuria sp. Its description in RNAcentral is "bacterial SSU rRNA". It matches the Rfam family "Bacterial small subunit ribosomal RNA", at positions 299 to 714 of the family's 1533-position model. Lineage: Bacteria; Bacillati; Actinomycetota; Actinomycetes; Micrococcales; Micrococcaceae. The record is from RNAcentral.
GGUGACCGGCCACACUGGGACUGAGACACGGCCCAGACUCCUACGGGAGGCAGCAGUGGGGAAUAUUGCACAAUGGGCGGAAGCCUGAUGCAGCGACGCCGCGUGAGGGAUGACGGCCUUCGGGUUGUAAACCUCUUUCAGUAGGGAAGAAGCGAGAGUGACGGUACCUGCAGAAGAAGCGCCGGCUAACUACGUGCCAGCAGCCGCGGUAAUACGUAGGGCGCAAGCGUUGUCCGGAAUUAUUGGGCGUAAAGAGCUCGUAGGCGGUUUGUCGCGUCUGCUGUGAAAGCCCGGGGCUCAACCCCGGGUCUGCAGUGGGUACGGGCAGACUAGAGUGCAGUAGGGGGAGACUGGAAUUCCUGGUGUAGCGGUGAAAUGCGCAGAUAUCAGGAGGAACACCGAUG